UGCGUAGGUGGCCCUGUAAGUCAGUGGUGAAAUAUCUCAGCUUAACUGAGAGGGUGCCAUUGAUACUGCAGGGCUUGAGUACAGAUGAGGUAGGCGGAAUUGACGGUGUAGCGGUGAAAUGCAUAGAUAUCGUCAAGAACACCGAUAGCGAAGGCAGCUUACCAAGCUGUAACUGACACUGAGGCACGAAAGUGUGGGGAUCAAACAGGAUUAGAUACCCUGGUAGUCCACACUGUAAACGUUGAUGACUCGAUGUUGGCGAUACACAGCCAGCGUCCAAGAGCAAUCGUUAAGUCAUCCACCUGGGGAGUACGCCGGCAACGGUGAA
RNAcentral lists this ribosomal RNA (328 nucleotides) under uncultured Bacteroidota bacterium. RNAcentral's name for it is "bacterial SSU rRNA". It matches the Rfam family "Bacterial small subunit ribosomal RNA", at positions 568 to 898 of the family's 1533-position model. The record is from RNAcentral. Lineage: Bacteria; Pseudomonadati; Bacteroidota.